CUUAUCCUUUGUUGCCAGCGGUCCGGCCGGGAACUCAAAGGAGACUGCCAGUGAUAAACUGGAGGAAGGUGGGGAUGACGUCAAGUCAUCAUGGCCCUUACGACCAGGGCUACACACGUGCUACAAUGGCGCAUACAAAGAGAAGCGACCUCGCGAGAGCAAGCGGACCUCAUAAAGUGCGUCGUAGUCCGGAUUGGAGUCUGCAACUCGACUCCAUGAAGUCGGAAUCGCUAGUAAUCGUGGAUCAGAAUGCCACGGUGAAUACGUUCCCGGGCCUUGUACACACCGCCCGUCACACCAUGGGAGUGGGUUGCAAAAGAAGUAGGUAGCUUAACCUUCGGGAGGGCGCUUACCACUUUGUGAUUCAUGACUGGGGUGAAGUCGUAACAAGGUAACCGUAGGGGAACCUGC
Molecule: ribosomal RNA, 411 nt
Filed under: Salmonella enterica
Lineage: Bacteria; Pseudomonadati; Pseudomonadota; Gammaproteobacteria; Enterobacterales; Enterobacteriaceae
Also listed under: 4 other names
Description: bacterial SSU rRNA
Rfam family: Bacterial small subunit ribosomal RNA
Source: RNAcentral